CUUAAAUCUUGGUAAAAGGCAGCGAAUUGAUGCCCGGUGACGCCCAGGUGUGCAGAUCGGACAAGCUCAGGGGAAGCUGUGACCGGGUGGAGAGGAGCGUGGGUCACAGAGCAGGAGGAGGGCUGCUCUCCACGCGGAUGUCCGUUUCCCCAUUUGGAUGCUCCUUUUGUCUUUCCGGAUUUGCUCCUCGUCGUUAACUCCUCCGGCUCCAGGGCCCUGCGGUUGAUUUUGGUCGGAGUCCGUCUAGGGCACAUUCUUUGCCUUCACCCACGGUACAAUGACGUCCAUCCGUUCAUCAACGUCUGUGCGUUUUCAUUCUCAACUAAUUGACCAUGUUACCCACGAAGACUUGGCCUUAAGAGGCGGAGCUGCAUCUCGAAAAGGACUGGUGCACUCGUUGAAAACAAACCCAAACCCAGCAAACUGUCCUCACGGUGAUGGUUCAUAGCCACUCAGACCCAAAGAAAGAGAAAGGAAGAAAGAAAGAAGAAAGAAAGAAAGAAAGAAAGAAAGAAAGAAAGAAAGAAGUAAAUCCCAGGAGGCCGUGUCACCGCUACCUCACAGCUCCACACACCAUUCCCGUCCCAGUCUCGGUGGCCGACAGCCCUGGCAGCCGUGCUCUGCGUGACUGUCUGGCUGGACGGGCCUGCCUGAGCCUUCAUGCUCUAAAUUGCUUGGUAAGAUUCAAGAAGGAAGAAGGGAAGGGCAUGAUGGGAAUGAGAAGACGUGUUUUCUUCUGGAAGGACCUCGGGGAGGCCAUGUGGAUGGAAACGUGCUGUCAAGAGGUGGUCAAGCACAGGGUCUGGAGGGAGACUACCCACAUCUGAUGGCCCACCAGUGCCUAUCUUUGAGAUUCUGGUUCACCAAUUCACUCCCUGGGCCCGUGCACGUAUGUGUGCAUGUAUAUGUACAUGAUGAUGCACACACAAUCCCCAACCAUGAAAGAGGAGCAGUGAUAGUGCUCAUCUCCUGGUGUUACAGUGAAGAGUCAGUGAGACAGUGCAUGGCUAGUACGGCAGGCUUCCUGACACAUAACUCACACUGAUUAAAAUGACAGCUGUCUUGGGCACCUGUGUGGCUCAGGUGGUUAAGUGGCUGCCUUUGGCUCAGGUCGUGGUCCCGGGAUCGAGCCCCUCGACUCCCUGCUCAGCAAGAGUCUGCUUCUCCCUCUCCCUCUGCCUGCUGCUCCCCCCACAUGUGCUCUCUCUCUCUCUCUCUCUCUCUCUCUAUGUGUGCCAAAUAAACAAAUAAAAUCUAAAAAAAAAAAAUAAAAA
Long non-coding RNA from Vulpes vulpes (red fox), 1274 nucleotides. NCBI's taxonomy places the organism in Eukaryota, Metazoa, Chordata, Mammalia, Carnivora, Canidae. The record is from Ensembl.